UACGGGGGGUGCGAGCGUUGUCCGGAAUCACUGGGCGUAAAGGGCGCGUAGGUGGUUUGAUAAGGGUGUGGUGAAAGUCCGGGGCUCAACCCCGGAUCUGCCGUGCCGACUGUCAAACUCGAGGACUGUAGAGGCAGACGGAAUUCCGGGUGUAGCGGUGGAAUGCGUAGAGAUCCGGAGGAAGACCGGUGGCGAAGGCGGUCUGCUGGGCAGUUUCUGACACUGAGGCGCGACAGCGUGGGGAGCAAACCGG
Molecule: ribosomal RNA, 253 nt
Filed under: uncultured bacterium
Lineage: Bacteria
Description: partial 16S ribosomal RNA
Rfam family: Bacterial small subunit ribosomal RNA
Source: RNAcentral